Molecule: ribosomal RNA, 415 nt
Filed under: uncultured bacterium
Lineage: Bacteria
Description: bacterial SSU rRNA
Rfam family: Bacterial small subunit ribosomal RNA
Source: RNAcentral
GGGGAAUCUUGCACAAUGGGCGGAAGCCUGAUGCAGCGACGCCGCGUGAGGGAUGAAGGCCUUCGGGUUGUAAACCUCUUUCAGCCUUGACGAAGCGCCCUUUUGUGGGUGUGACGGUAGGGGCAGAAGAAGCGCCGGCCAACUACGUGCCAGCAGCCGCGGUAAGACGUAGGGCGCGAGCGUUGUCCGGAUUUAUUGGGCGUAAAGAGCUCGUAGGCGGCUUGUCGCGUCGUCCGUGAAAACCUGUGGCUUAACUACAGGCUUGCGGUCGAUACGGGCAGGCUAGAGUGCGGCAGGGGAGACUGGAAUUCCUGGUGUAGCGGUGAAAUGCGCAGAUAUCAGGAGGAACACCGGUGGCGAAGGCGGGUCUCUGGGCCGCUACUGACGCUGAGGAGCGAAAGCGUGGGGAGCGAAC